Molecule: long non-coding RNA, 222 nt
Filed under: Brassica rapa (field mustard)
Lineage: Eukaryota; Viridiplantae; Streptophyta; Magnoliopsida; Brassicales; Brassicaceae
Description: long non-coding RNA (BRAP_LNC000468)
Source: RNAcentral
CCUUUUACCUAUUAAAUGAAACAUUUUGAUCAUUUUCCUCCUUGUAGUCUAUUUUUGUGACCAAAACUUAAAAUAGUCUAUUUAGGAGAAUUGCCUUUAUAUUUAUCAAGAGAUUAUAGAUCAAUAGAAUCAUUGAUUUGAAUAUAAUCAAAAACCAGUGAAGAGUUAUAGAAAAAUUUGUAUUUUGGAAGAAAGCUCUUGACAAUACCAUAUUGUCUUUAU